CUACGGGGGGCACCAGUGGGGAAUAUUGCACAAUGGGCGCAAGCCUGAUGCAGCCAUGCCGCGUGUAUGAAGAAGGCCUUCGGGUUGUAAAGUACUUUCAGCGGGGAGGAAGGGAGUAAAGUUAAUACCUUUGCUCAUUGACGUUACCCGCAGAAGAAGCACCGGCUAACUCCGUGCCAGCAGCCGCGGUAAUACGGAGGGUGCAAGCGUUAAUCGGAAUUACUGGGCGUGAAGCGCACGCAGGCGGUUUGUUAAGUCAGAUGUGAAAUCCCCGGGCUAAACCUGGGAACUGCAUCUGAUACUGGCAAGCUUGAGUCUCGUAGAGGGGGGUAGAAUUCCAGGUGUAGCGGUGAAAUGCGUAGAGAUCUGGAGGAAUACCGGUGGCGAAGGCGGCCCCCUGGACGAAGACUGACGCUCAGGUGCGAAAGCGUGGGGAGCAAACAGGAUUAGAUACCCGUGUAGUC
Molecule: ribosomal RNA, 464 nt
Filed under: uncultured bacterium
Lineage: Bacteria
Description: partial 16S ribosomal RNA
Rfam family: Bacterial small subunit ribosomal RNA
Source: RNAcentral